ACAAAAACAACCAAUAGUUUAAUCAAAAGCAGAAGAAACAACAAGCUAGGUAAUAACAAACUCAGAUAAACUAAUUCCAUCAUAAUAUAUACAUGACUUGCUGUCAAAAAAAAAGAACUUUGGAACCAUGUAUUAAACCACUUACAAGUAUUAUCAAAAUCAACCAUAAGCCAAAUGAAAGAGCUUUGGAACCUUGUAUUUACCCUUAAGCUUGUAGAAAAGUUCUUCAUAUACAAGUGCCCCAAAUUCAAAGUAGUCCAUAAGCCAAAUGAAAGACCUUUGGAACCUUGUAUUUACCCUUAAGCUUGUAGGAAAGUUCUUCAUAUACAAGUGCCCCAAAUUCAAAGUAGUGUCUAGUGGAAAUAGAUUUACAUAAAAGCACUCCUGGAACCAAUAUCCAAAUGUCAAAUUCACUGCAAAAAUCAAAGUACUAUACAUGCAAGAUGCACAAAUUAAAUGAGCCAUGUUUCUAAAGUACUAGAACAUAAAUUUGACACAAUUUCUUACUUCAAUAAAAUUUGACAACAACUUAUAUGGUUAACAUUCUUAUUCCAAUCACAUUAAUAACUUCUUAGUUUCGUACAUCAACAAGUAUCUUAAACAAGCUUUAAUUGUAGUUGCAGCUGUAGGUGCCACCAUUAAAACAAAUCAAAAUCAUGAUUAAAACUAACUCAAAUAAGUUAAGCACAAAAGUAUAAUGUUAUGUAAUAGGGAAGCAAUUCAUAAGUAAAAAAUGCAUAACGACGACGUUCAAUCUAAGGUAUGGAAGUUAACAAUAUUUUUAAGAUCCAAAAAUAAGACAAAAAAUCAGUAGGUACAAUUAGGUGGCAAAUUCAGUAUCAUUAACCUAUUUCAAACUUGAAUAAAAGUAUGAGCCAAUGACAUACCAGAGCAUAAACACAUACUUUCCUACCUAAUAUCUUAGUCCUUGUCUUUCCAUUGCCUCAUCCAAACAAGCAACCAUAUAUAUGUUGUCGCGGAUGGCUGGUAAACAAAUAACCGGAGGCGUGUAGUCACUGAACUAAGGAAUUAUCCGCAAGAUAUUGCGCAACUCCCCCAGAAUACAACCGGUUCUUCUCGACGAUAAACAUGCCGAGGCUAUCAAUACACGAGAAAUGACAACAUGGUAGGCAACUCAGACACUCGUUGAAAUUAUAUCUUUAGUUUGUUUUCACGCAUAGCCUUAUAUAGUCAUGAAAGUAAGUUUUUUCACUUAACAAGAAUGGGCCGUACUCCUUAUAUAUGUAUAAGAACAAAGCAUUAGUAAGCUAUUUAUUCUCAAUUAAAACAAUAAUGUCCCAAUUAAUUAGCAUUAGAAAACGGUAACAGUAACGGCUAAUUGAGUUAAAAUAGGAAGUAGUA
Molecule: long non-coding RNA, 1362 nt
Filed under: Trifolium pratense (red clover)
Lineage: Eukaryota; Viridiplantae; Streptophyta; Magnoliopsida; Fabales; Fabaceae
Description: long non-coding RNA (TPRA_LNC000779)
Source: RNAcentral